Molecule: long non-coding RNA, 2160 nt
Filed under: Fragaria vesca (wild strawberry)
Lineage: Eukaryota; Viridiplantae; Streptophyta; Magnoliopsida; Rosales; Rosaceae
Description: long non-coding RNA (FVES_LNC000035)
Source: RNAcentral
UCUGAGAUCAUUGCUCUACAUGAGGCAGUUUGUGAGUGUUUAUGGUUAAGUCCAUAAUUAAAUAUAUUCGAGGGGCUAAUGGUUUGAGUUCUACCACUGAAGAGCCUGCUUGCAUUUAUGAUCAUAAUGCAACUUGCAUCGAACAGAUGAAGGUAGAGUAUAUCAAGGGUGAUAGUACAAAAUACAUAACGCCAAAGUUCUUCUACAUUCAACAACAAUAGACUCUCCUUAAGAUUCAAGUGAAUCAAGUAAUGUAUAAGGAGGAUGCGGCGGAUUUAUAUACCAAAUCCUUGCCAGGGGCUACAUUUGAAAAGCAUGUGAGAAACAUCGGAAUGCAAAGACUUUCCAAGUUCCCCUGAUUGAUGUAAGGAUCAGGGGAAAGGCGUAGACUUCAGGGGGAGUCUAAUGCACACAUGCCAUCUUCAAAUGUAAUAGGUGCGUUGAUGUAAUAGGUGCGUUGUAUUUUUUUCCCUUCGACCAAGGUUUUAUUUUUUCUCACUGCAUUUUGUCACUUGACAAAGUUUUUAACAAGACAACACUACAUGCAUUGUUUCGUCUUUGACUUGGCACAAGGAGGAGUGUUGAUAGAAAAAUACAUUUAUGUGCUUUUGUUGAAGUAACUGACCAGAGGAAAUUAAGGGAUUAAUGUGUGUGUGUAUAUAUAUAUAUAUCAGACGUAAUUAUUGUUGUACCCGUUGUAAUUAGGGUUGGGCACUUAGUACCUGAAUUCUGAUCUCAUACCGGUCCCGUACUGAAAGUUAGCAGGACGGGACGGGAUAGAGUUUUAAAAAUGCCUAUACCGUCCCGUCCCAUUAUUGAAUUUUGAAACGGGACGGGACAGGAUUGAGACUAUCCCAAAAAGUCUCGUCCCGUCCCACGAUAUUAAAAUAUUAAAUUUUUUAUACUGUAUUAGAUCAUACACGUCCAUUCAUAAGUUGUAUUAGAUCAUAUGCGUCCAUUUCUUAAGUUGUAUGAAAUCAAUCACACCUCUCAAUGAUUUCUCAAGGACACUUUCAUUUCAUGAACUCCUUAUUUGGCCUCACCCUCACAAAGACACUUACAGCCUUUCUCUUCUAUCUACAAUAAGACCUCUAUAAAUAAAUAAUGUUAGGAACAUGAAAAAUUAUACUUUAGAGAGGUUAUUAUAUUAUCGAUAAAUGAACAAUAUUCACUUAUCGAUAAUUUAUUACUUUAUAUAGGGUUUUGUUAUUAACAGUUUUCUUAAUUUGUUAAGAGUUUCCUUAAUUUUUCAUAAUACAAGGAAAAAGCAAAGGACUUUAUAUAGAUAUUUUUGGGAAAUAACUAAAUUGAGGAAUUAAAAUUGUUCAGAGUUUGUAUCAUUAUGAACAUUAAUUACUUUUUCUUUAUUUAUUUUAUUAAUUUUUAAUAUUUUUGGAUGAUUUUCUUUUUUGGCUAUUAUGUCGGGACGACCCGAUCCCGUCUUGAUCCGGCCCGUCACCAAUCGAGACGGGAUGGGACGAGAUCAAUUCUUAAAAUCGACAUUCUCGUACCAUCCUGUCCCAUUCUUUUAUUUUCGGGACGGGACGAGAUUCAUCAAAUCCCGUCCAUGUCCAGUCCUAGUUGUAAUUCCUGCUUCAUAUAAAGAAUAUUAGUAAUGAUACGAGUUGACCAAUUCCAAUUGCAUUUUAAUUUUGUAGACAUAUUUUAUUAAACCCAAAAAAGAUGUAAAAGACUAAAAUACCUUUGAAAAUAUGUUCUCCCUGAUGGAGCUAACGUAUCCAGAUACAAUAUAUCCUCGAGAUAAGAAGGUGAGAUACAUUUUGAAAAACUUUAAAAUGUGAAACAGUGUUUAAACCAUUGUUCUAGGGAAAAAAAAAAAAAAAAAAACCUAACGCAAUUGCAAUUGGGGCCGUCCGUGAAAGUAGUACUGUAGAUGAGAAUACUACAAGGUGCAUCAGACGGUUGUAGUUAACUCUCAGCUUUGGAGCUUUGGUUAGCCUCGAGAGUUGAAUCUGUUUCGGUAUCUUGUUCACGUCCCCCUUAUCUCGUAACCCCUUNUCUCUCUCUCUCUCGUCUNUCUCNCUNCUCGUACUNACGUNUACNUNUNUACUNCUNUCUCGUNUNUCUCUNUCUCUCUCNCUACUACCUCCUCUCUCUCUCUCUCUCUCUCUCUCUCUCUCUCUCUCUCUAAUGGCGAAU